GCAGUUGAGAUAGAAAGUAAGAUUCUGGCCCAGGUGCGAUGGUCAGAACCGACGGACCGUCGGGCCCUCGAUGGACCGUCGCACCCCACCAUCGCACAUCCUGAUAAGUAAUUUUAAGUUGUUUUAAAAAGGGAUUUUUGGUUUUUUCCCAGCAUUUUAACAGCCAUUUAUAUCCUAAAUGAAGCAGGUAACUUCAUGAUCUCCCAAAACAUCCAAAGGCUAGGGUUUUUUCCUCAAGAACAAACCCAAAAUCUUUCUCCAAGAAAUUGAAGAGUUCACCAUAGAUUUUACAAAUUGAGUUGAGAUUCAAGUUUCCCAAGUCAAAGGCUUCAAGAACCCUCUCUCAAAGAGUAAGAAUAAAAGUCUCAAGCAAGUUUGUUCAUCUAAGUCACAAUUUAAGGUAUGUGGGGUUUGAACAAGGACACUUCUUUCGUCCUUGUGCCCAAAAGUUGUUUUAAUUACAAGAAUAUAUGAUUUUUCAUGUCUUAUUUUGAAAUUGAAGUAUGAGUUUGUACCCCAUGUUAUUAUUCCUUGAGAUUUUAAUAGUUCCAAUGUUCUAGAAAUUGAAGUACAUGAGCAUGUUGACAUUUUAAGAUAAAUUGCUGAAAAUUCCAGAUUUCUAUACAAUUUAUAAAUCCAUAUGAUAUCUAGUAUGCAUUUUGAUGAGUCUUAACUAGAGAUUGAAUUAUGGGUCAUUAAACCCUACUUAAGAUUUCAGUUGUUAUGAAGUUUUGUGCUAUAAGCACCCAUGAUUUGAGUAUUUUGAGAUCAUUGAGAAGGUUUUGACCUUAAUGGUCAUAGUAGCUUUGAAAUCCACUUUACUAAAUGAGAUUUCAGAUUUUAUAGUUGGGUUAUUCAUGAACCAUGAGAUUAUUUUAAAGUGGAUUUCCAUGAGAUGAGCGUAGCUAACUAAUGGGGAUAGUAUUUAGCACCGAGUUGGGUAAGUUACUACGGUUUCAUACCCCAAAACUACAUGCCACUGUAGGAUUGAGAUUUAUGGGCCCGAGGCCGAGAUAAGUGAUCAUUGUGUUGAGGUUAUACUCCCUGGCAAGAGUAUGAUGCCUCUCCCAACGUGAGGUUUCUUCCUUAGGAGGAAAAGGCGUUGGACUCCAUGUAGCUCGCAUGGUUUAUAUCAGUUAAGAGAACCUCCUUGCUAGUAAACAGUAAAUAAACUGAUUUUAUGUAUUUUUCCCUAAUAGUAAGAUUUUUCAGAAUAGUUUCUUAAAUAAAAUUUUCCCAAGAAGAAGGUAGCUUUCUCUACUAGUAAGAGUAAAUAAUUAGUUUUUAAACCAAAGUUAUAUAAUCCUGAGUUCUAAGUGUCCCGAGUCUAAAAGAGUUCUGAGUUCUUGAGUUUUAAAGAAGUUUUACUCUCCAUGAUAUAAGAAUAUGAGUUUGACAGUAUUGUCUAAAGCUUUCUUUAGUCUUUGAGUAUUGAGAAUAACAGGAGAGUAUAGAUUUUAAAGCUAAAGUAUAUUGACUCACGAGAUUUGUGUUACAUGCUUCAUUAACCAUGAUUUAUGAGCUUUACAUUUUAGACUUAUUCAAGCUAUGUGAGUCAUUCCUAACUGCAUACGUGAUUUGAUUAAAGAGUAUUGAUAUUGUUUUAUGUAAAUGAAUACACCCCCAUAUACUCAGUAUAUUCCUAAGUGCUGAUCCACAUAUAUGUCUAUGUACUACAUUGUCUUAUAAUGUAGGUUCAGGUACUCAGUUCUAGCCUCGUCAGUGAUUCCCGAGUACCUUUGUCUACAUCUCCACAGUGGUGAGUCCUUAUGGUUAGAGGACCUAUCUUCAGACAUUUCAGUAUUUUAGUAGAUACGUUAUUGCUUUCAGUUUAGUUUGAGUCAAUUGGGGACCUGUCCCAAUAGCUCUCUAGUUCAUGGAGUAGUAGAGGCUUUGAGAUUUCUAGUAUUGUGGUGGUCUGGACAGAGUAUUUUCUUCAUAUUUCCUGUUAUUUAAUAUGACAGUUCUAGUAUUUUGUUUAUUUUAUCUCGAAAUGAGUUAUUAUAUGUAGUAAUAGGCUCAAAGGAUUAGCUUGGGGCUGCUUAUAGCCUUAAGAAUCGUGUGAUAUCCCGGGAGGGGAUUUCAGGUCGUUACAAACUUGAUAUCAGAGCCUAAGAUUUUAGGAGUCCUAGGGAGUCUGACAAGCUGCAUUAAGUAGAGUCUUGAUCAUCGGUAUGUAGCGCAUCAUAUCUAUGAGCAAGAGGCUACAAGACAUUUUAGAAAAAAGAUGUUUCUUUCUUUCAGAUUCUAUCGUGCCCACAUUUUCCUUCCCAUCUAAUAAUUUAUGCUCUUAUAUUUCAGAAAAUGCCUCCUAGAAGAGUGAAUGCCCGUAGAAAUGAUAAUGAGCAGCCCCAGCCCGUCAAUCCCUUGAAUGAGACUGUCUCAUGCUGAGUUUCGGGCGGCCUUUCAGGUGUUAGCCCAAGCAGUCACCACUAAUGUUUAGGCCAAUAACCAGGCCAUAAUUCCAAAUCAACAGGAAGGUGAUUUAGCUGCUGCUAAGAUUCAUGAUUUCAUGCAGAUGAAUCCGCCAGAGUUUUAUGGAUCUAAGGCAGGUGAGGACCUACAGUUAUACCUUGAGGUGGUAAGGAAGAUCACAUACGUAAUGCAUAUUUCUGAGGAAAAAAGUGUUGAGCUGGCGUCUUACAGGUUGAAAGACAUUGCUUAUGACUGGGUUGUAGUAUGUAAGAAGGGUAGAGGAGAGGGUAUUGCUCCUAUGACUUGGCAGGUGUUCUAAGAUGUAUUCUUACACAAGUUCUUUCUUCUUGAGAUGAGGGAAGCAAAGAUUAAAGAGUUUAUGAACUUAAGGUAGGGCUCCAUGACUGUUAAAGAGUACUGCUUAAAGUUCAACCAUUUAGCCAAGUAUGCUCCUGAUUUAAUUGCUGACACCCGAGCUAAUAUGAGCAAGUUCAUGACAGGUGUUUCUGGUUUGGUGAUAAAAGAGUGUAUGACUACAAUGUUGAAUAGGGCUAUGGAUCUGUCUAGAUUGAUGAUAUAUGCACAGUAGAUAGAGGUGGAUAAGAUAAGGGAGAGAGAUAAAGUGAGGGGUAAUAAGUGGACUAGAUCUGAGCAAUAUGAGUAUAGUCAGGCUAGGUCCUAUGGAGAGAAUCGCCUAUAGUUCCAGAGUCGUUCUUCUAUGCCAGCACCUUCAUCAACUAGCUUCAUCAACUAGUGCUCCCGCUCCUAGAGAUAGGUAGGAGUAAGGGAACAUGUUUUCUAUGUCUAGGUCGCAGAAUAGUGUAAGUAACAGACCCCACUAUCCUCUUUGUGCUAAGUGUAGUGAGGAUUAUCCCGAUGAGUACUUGGCAAAUCAGAGGGGUUGUUUUGGUUGUGGCAAGCUGGGCCAUAGACUUAGAGAUUGUCCGCAUGCUAGGCAGGGGAACAAAGAUGCCCGACCUCAGGCACAGACUACUAGUGCACUAUCUCCAAUAGCCCGUCCCGCCCCUACUAAGGGAACUUCUUCUAGCACUACUGGCGGUCAGUGCCAGAACAUAUUCUAUGCCUUACCAUCCCAUCAGGAGCAGGAGGACUCUCCUGAUGUUGUUACUGGUAUGCUCUGCAUCUUUUUCUUUGAUGUUUAUGUGUUGUUAGACCCUGGGUUAAGCUUUUCUUAUGUGACCCCACUUGUAGCUGUUAAUUUCAAAAUGAGUCCCAAAAAGAUUCCUGAGCCUUUCCUAGUUUCUACUCCAGUAGGGGAGUCAGUUGUUGCUAAGCAAGUGUACAGAAAUUCUCCUAUUACUAUUCAUCAUAGAGUCAUAUUUUCUGAUUUGGUUAGACAUGAAGGAUUUCAACCUUAUUCUGGGUAUGGAUUAGCUUCAUUCUUGUUAUGCGUCCAUAGAUUGUCGUACUCGUGUGGUCAAGUUUCAGUUCCCUGAUGAAUCAGUUUUUGAGUGGUCCAGGAGUUCAGUAUCUCCAAGAGUCAUUUUAUCUCCCAUCUCAAAGUCAAAAAGCUAAUAUCCAAAGGUUGCAUCUAUCACCUAUUUAGAGUUAAAGACACUAAGUCUGAGGCUCCAACUAUUCAGUUAGUCAACAUUGUUAAUAAGUUUCCUGAUUUUUUUCCAGAAGAUCUCCCAGGGGUACCUCCGAAUAGAGAGAUAGAAUUUGGGAUUGACCUUCUUCCCGACACUUAACCUUUUUCUAUUCCGCCAUACUGCAUGGCACCUGUAGAGCUUAAGGAGUUGAAAGAGAAACUCAAAGAUCUUUUAGAUAAAAGUUUCAUAAGGCCUAGUGUCUCUCAUUAGGGCGUACCUGUUCUAUUCAUGCGAAAGAAAAAUGGUUCUUUGCGUAUGUGCAUUGACUAUUGUCAUCUUAAUAAGGUCACAGUAAAAAAUAAGUAUCCUUUUCCGAGAAUUGAUGACCUUUUUGAUCAGUUGCAAGUGUGCAAGUUAUUUCUCCAAGAUACACCUUAGAUUCGGCUAUCAUCUACUUAAAGUGAGGGAAUGUGAUAUUCCAAAGACAGCCUUCCAAACCCGUUAUGGUCACUUUGAGUUUCUAGUCAUGUCUUUCGGGCUAACCAAUGCUCCAGCAGCCUUAAUGGACCUCAUGAAUCGAGUGUUCAAGGAAUAUCUUGAUAUGUUUAUCAAUAUUUUCAUAGAUGGUAUCCUUGUGUACUCCCGUACUGAGAAUGACCAUGUAGAUCACCUUAGGAUUGUCUUGCAAACUCUUAGAGAUCACCAGUUAUUCGCCAAAUUCAACAAGUGUAAAUUUUGGUUAAGAUAGCUUUUUUGGGUCAUAUUACUUCAGCCGAAGGCAUUAGAGUUGAUCCCCAAAAGACAGAAGCUGUAAGAAAUUAGCCUAGACUUGUCUCUCCGUCUGACAUUAGGAGUUUCUUGGGUUUAGAAGGCUACUACCACUAUUUUGUUGAAGGUUUCUCUUCUAUUGCAUUCCCCAUGACCGAGUUGACCCAAAAGAAAGUUAAGUUCCAGUGGUCAGAUUCUUAUAAGAAGAGUUUUUAAGAGUUAAAGACUCCACUUACUUUAGCCCCUGUGUUGACUUUGCCUGAUGGUACAGAUGACUUUGUGGUGUAUUGUGAUGCCUCUAGAGUUGGUUUGGGUUGUGUGUUAAUCCAAAGAGGUAAGGUUAUAGCCUAUGCCUCUAGACAGUGUAAGCCGCAUUAAAAGAACUACCCAACCCAUGAUCUUGAAUUAGCUUUUGUAGUCUUUUCUUUGAAAAUAUGGAGACACUAUUUGUAUGGUGUUCAUGUUGAUGUGUUUACUGAACAUAAGAGCCUGCAGUAUAUGUUUACUCAGAGGGAGUUGAAUUUUAGGUAGAUGAGGUGGUUAGAGCUGUUAAAAGACUAUGAUAUUAGUGUGUUAUAUCACCCGAGAAAGGCCAAUGUAGUGGUAGAUGCCCUUAGCAUAUUGUCUAUGGGCAUCGUUAUUCAUAUAGAGGAAGGUAAGAAAGAGUUGGCUCAUGAUGUGUAUCAUUUGGCUAGACUGGGUGUUAGUUUGAUUGAUUCAGCUGAGGGGAGUAUACUGGUGCAGAGUAUUUCUGAAUCCUCUUUAGUUUUGGAAGUGAAGGAGAAACAAGACAGGGAUCCUAGUUUGGUCAGACUGAAGGAGUUAGUUAAGGGCCAAAAGGUAGAGAUUUUCUCCUAAGGGGGAGAUGACGUGUUGAGAUUGUAGGGUAGAUUGUAUGUUCCGUGUGUGGAUGGUCUAAGGUAGAGAGUUAUGGCUAAACCACAUGAAGCGUGGUAUUUUAUUCAUCUCGGCACUACCAAGAUGUACCACAACUUGCGGGAAAUAUAUUGGUGGAGUGGUAUGAAGAAGGAUAUAGCUGCGUUUGUAGAAAAGUGUGCAAUGUGCCAACAGGUUAAGGUGGAGCACCAAUGGUCUGGUAGUGUGAUACAAGAGUUUGGUAUACCCACUUGGAAGUGGGAAGAGGUGAUUAUGGACUUCGUGACUGGUUUACCUCUUUUGUAUCAUCAUCAUGAUUCUAUUUGGGUUGUUGUAGACAGGCUGACUAAUUCCAUACAUUUCUUACCCAUGUAUACAUCUUAUACAGCUAAGGAUUAUGCUAGAUUAUAUACUCGAGAGUUAGUCAGGCUCACGGAGUUCCCUUGUUUAUCAUUUCGGAUAAGGGUACUCAAUUUACUUCUCAGUUUUGGAGAGCAUUUUAGCAGGGUCUUGGUACCCAAGUUCAUUUAUGUUUUGCUUUUCAUCUACAGACAGAUGGUCAGACUGAGAGGACCAUUCAUACUCUAUAACAUAUGUUGAGGGUAUGUGCACUUGAUUUCAAAGGUAGUUGGGAUGAGCAUUUGCCAUUAAUAGAGUUUUCUUAUAACAAUAAUUACAAUGCUAGCAUCGAGAAGGCACCAUUUAAGGCUUUUUAUGGUAUAAGAUAUAGAUCAUCCAUAGGUUGGUUUGAAGUGGGUGAAGCUGGUGUGAUUGGUCCUGAUGCAAUGUUCGAGGUUAUGGAGAAACUUAAGUUGAUUAGAGAACGGUUGAAGAUAACUUAGGGUCGUCAAAAGUCAUAUGCUGAUGUGAGGAGAAGAGAUCUUGAGUUUGAGGUGGGUGAUUUGGUGUACUUAAAGAUUUCACCCAUGAAAGGGGACAAGAGGUUUGGUAAAAAAGAAAAGCUUAGCCCCCGUUACGUUGGCCCCUAUAGAGUCUUGAUCCAUGUUGGUAAAGUAGCCUAUGAAGUUCAGUUGCCCACAAAGUUGUCAGCCGUUCAUCCUAUUUUUCAUGUCUCCAUGCUUAAAAAGCAUAUUGGUGAUUCGGUUGUAGUGGAUCCUUCAGAGAGUGCUGAUAUUCAGAACAGUCUUUCAUUUAAUGAGAUUCCUAUUGAGAUUCUAGACUUUCAGAUCUGUAGAUCUAGGAACAAAGAGGUUCCCUUGUUCAAAGUUUUGUGGAGAAACCAGUCCGUUGAGGGCGCUACUUGGGAGGCAGAAGCAGACAUGUGAGCCAAGUACCCGCACCUCUUCUCCACAAGUUCAGAUCAAGCUGAAGGUAUUAUUCUUCCUUAAUUAAGCCCUUCUUAUCUAAAGUUCAUCUAUGUAUCUAUUCUUACAUGAGUUCUUGCAAUUUCUGAAGUAUUCAAGAGUUUAGAAAGAUUUUAAGCCCGUUUAGCAAAUUGCUUCAGCUAUGUGUACUCAGUUUUUCCUGUGUCCCUAGUAUAACUAGCAACAUUUAAGGACAAAUUUUUCCAAGGGGAAGAUAUUGUAAAACCUUACAAAGUUCCCUCAUAGUCUGAGCCUUAGAACGUGUUAAGUAAAGAGUGAUUCUGGCCCUAAGAGAUUAAGAAGUGACUUCCCAAGUGAUUAGUGUUUAAAUCUUGUUGAAUUUUCUGAAAAAUGACUUUCUAUCGUGUGGGAAAUUGAAUUAUCUUUCCAACGAUACCCAUUUUGUCAAAAUAUGACGUCGGAGUGAGAAGAUAUGGCCAAAUUAUAGAAGGCAAUUUGAACCGCCCAGGUGCGACGGAAGGGGUCGACGGACUAUUGGACAAGCGAUGGACCGUCGCCCUGACCUUCAUAACAAGGAAGAAUACCGACUCACUGCUAAGUUCGACGGAGAGUGCCAACUCAACAUUGGACAAUCGACAGAACGUCACACCCUACCAUCGCAGUCGAGGCAGAAAGUAAGAUUUUGGCCCAGAUGCGACGGUCAGGACCGACGAACCAUCGCACCCCACCAUUGCACAUCCCAAUCAGUAAUUUUAAAUUAUUUCAAAAAGGUAUUUGUGGUCUUUUCCCACCCAUUUAACAACUGUUAUAUCCUAAACGAAGCAGAUAACUUCAUUAUCUCCCAA
RNAcentral lists this long non-coding RNA (7743 nucleotides) under Capsicum annuum. RNAcentral's name for it is "long non-coding RNA (CANN_LNC016014)". Lineage: Eukaryota; Viridiplantae; Streptophyta; Magnoliopsida; Solanales; Solanaceae. The record is from RNAcentral.